This 72-nucleotide transfer RNA is filed under the name Patescibacteria group bacterium. RNAcentral's name for it is "tRNA-Gly". The stretch from base 5 to 62 matches the Rfam family "tRNA", at positions 7 to 64 of the family's 71-position model. Rfam says of the family: Transfer RNA (tRNA) molecules are approximately 80 nucleotides in length. Their secondary structure includes four short double-helical elements and three loops (D, anti-codon, and T loops). The record is from RNAcentral.
UCNNUUAGUACACCGGUAGUAUGCGUCCUUCCCAAGGACGAGAAGCGAGUUCAAUUCUCGUACCCCGCUCCA